GAGCCCGCACAAGCAGUGGAGUAUGUGGUUUAAUUCGACGCAACGCGAAGAACCUUACCGGAACUUGACAUCCUACCAAGGCGAAUGUAAUGUUUGCCGUGCCCUUCGGGGAGAGUAGAGACAGGUGGUGCAUGGUUGUCGUCAGCUCGUGUCGUGAGAUGUUGGGUUAAGUCCCGCAACGAGCGCAACCCUUACGGUUAGUUGCUACGAAAGAGCACUCUAGCCGGACUGCCGUUGACAAAACGGAGGAAGGCGGGGACGACGUCAAAUCAUCAUGCCCCUUACGUUCCGGGCUACACACGUACUACAAUGGCGCAAACAAAGGGAAGCGAGAUCGCGAGAUGGAGCAAACCCCAUAAAAGGCGUCCCAGUUCGGACUGCAGGCUGCAACCCGCCUGCACGAAGUUGGAAUUGCUAGUAAUCGCGGAUCAGCAUGCCGCGGUGAAUACGUUCCCGGGCUUU
RNAcentral lists this ribosomal RNA (462 nucleotides) under uncultured bacterium. RNAcentral's name for it is "bacterial SSU rRNA". It matches the Rfam family "Bacterial small subunit ribosomal RNA", at positions 917 to 1382 of the family's 1533-position model. The record is from RNAcentral.